RNAcentral lists this ribosomal RNA (1199 nucleotides) under Salmonella enterica. RNAcentral's name for it is "partial 23S ribosomal RNA". It matches the Rfam family "Bacterial large subunit ribosomal RNA", at positions 1589 to 2769 of the family's 2925-position model. The record is from RNAcentral. Lineage: Bacteria; Pseudomonadati; Pseudomonadota; Gammaproteobacteria; Enterobacterales; Enterobacteriaceae.
AGCAACAAAUGCCCUGCUUCCAGGAAAAGCCUCUAAGCCUCAGGUAACAUCAAAUCGUACCCCAAACCGACACAGGUGGUCAGGUAGAGAAUACCAAGGCGCUUGAGAGAACUCGGGUGAAGGAACUAGGCAAAAUGGUGCCGUAACUUCGGGAGAAGGCACGCUGACACGUAGGUGAAGUGGUUUACCCAUGGAGCUGAAGUCAGUCGAAGAUACCAGCUGGCUGCAACUGUUUAUUAAAAACACAGCACUGUGCAAACACGAAAGUGGACGUAUACGGUGUGACGCCUGCCCGGUGCCGGAAGGUUAAUUGAUGGGGUCAGCGCAAGCGAAGCUCCUGAUCGAAGCCCCGGUAAACGGCGGCCGUAACUAUAACGGUCCUAAGGUAGCGAAAUUCCUUGUCGGGUAAGUUCCGACCUGCACGAAUGGCGUAAUGAUGGCCAGGCUGUCUCCACCCGGGACUCAGUGAAAUUGAACUCGCUGUGAAGAUGCAGUGUACCCGCGGCAAGACGGAAAGACCCCGUGAACCUUUACUAUAGCUUGACACUGAACACUGGUCCUUGAUGUGCAGGAUAGGUGGGAGGCUUUGAAGUGUGGACGCCAGUCUGCAUGGAGCCAUCCUUGAAAUACCACCCUUUAAUGGCUGGUGUUCUAACGUGGGCCCGUGAACCGGGUUGCGGACAGUGUCUGGUGGGUAGUUUGACUGGGGCGGUCUCCUCCUAAAGAGUAACGGAGGAGCACGAAGGUUGGCUAAUCCUGGUCGGACAUCAGGAGGUUAGUGCAAUGGCAUAAGCCAGCUUGACUGCGAGCGUGACGGCGCGAGCAGGUGCGAAAGCAGGUCAUAGUGAUCCGGUGGUUCUGAAUGGAAGGGCCAUCGCUCAACGGAUAAAAGGUACUCCGGGGAUAACAGGCUGAUACCGCCCAAGAGUUCAUAUCGACGGCGGUGUUUGGCACCUCGAUGUCGGCUCAUCACAUCCUGGGGCUGAAGUAGGUCCCAAGGGUAUGGCUGUUCGCCAUUUAAAGUGGUACGCGAGCUGGGUUUAGAACGUCGUGAGACAGUUCGGUCCCUAUCUGCCGUGGGCGCUGGAAGAUUGAGGGGGGCUGCUCCUAGUACGAGAGGACCGGAGUGGACGCAUCACUGGUGUUCGGGUUGUCAUGCCAAUGGCACUGCCCGGUAGCUACAUGCGGAAGAGAUAAGU